AGAGCCUAAGCAACUGUGGUUU
This 22-nucleotide non-coding RNA is filed under the name Arabidopsis thaliana (thale cress). The record is from RNAcentral. Lineage: Eukaryota; Viridiplantae; Streptophyta; Magnoliopsida; Brassicales; Brassicaceae.